This 435-nucleotide ribosomal RNA is filed under the name uncultured soil bacterium. RNAcentral describes it as "bacterial SSU rRNA". It matches the Rfam family "Bacterial small subunit ribosomal RNA", at positions 957 to 1393 of the family's 1533-position model. The record is from RNAcentral.
GAACGCGAAGAACCUUACCCAGGCUUGACAUGCACGGGACAGGUGUGGAAACACACCCUCUCUUCGGAGUCCGUGCACAGGUGCUGCAUGGCUGUCGUCAGCUCGUGUCGUGAGAUGUUGGGUUAAGUCCCGCAACGAGCGCAACCCUUGUGACUAGUUGCCAGCACGUAAUGGUGGGAACUCUAGUCAGACUGCCCAGAUCAACUGGGAGGAAGGUGGGGACGACGUCAGGUCAGUAUGGCCCUUACGCCUUGGGCUGCACACGUACUACAGUGCCCAGCACAAUGAGAACCGAUGCCGCGAGGUGGAGGAAAUCUGUAAAACUGGGCUCAGUUCGGAUUGGAGGCUGCAACUCGCCUCCAUGAAGUUGGAAUCGCUAGUAAUGGGGCAUCAUCUACGGCCCCGUGAAUACGUUCCCGGGUCUUGUACACACGC